UGGUUUUCUUCCUUUCUUCCUUUAAAAAAAAAAAAAAAAAAGGCCUGGUCUCCAGAGAGCUCUAAUGUGGAGAGUCCUGGGCUGCUGGAAAGGCUGGACCUAAGACACAAACUCCUCUACCUGUGACAAUGUCGGAACUCAGGGUCAAGCACUCAAGAAUGUUCCACUCGGGGAUCCGGUAUGAGCAUUACUGCUCCUACCUUAGAAGUGUCCUAUAAGAUAACCUUAGGCUAUUUAAUCUCUUCGAGCCUUGGAUUACCCUCUGUGGACAUGAGACUGAGUACUUUGAUGGGCUCCUGAAGACCAUUAAUGAGAUAAUGUGCAAAAGCUGCCCGGUACAGCAGUCACACGACCAAAGACAUGCUGUGUUUUCCACAGCUUCAGACACACAGGAUGUGCCGCCUUUGCUCUUACCUUGUGGGCUAUAUACAGUUAUAUGCUGAUGUUCACACGUGCAUCUGAAGGUCGAAGAACGAGUGUCUCUACUUGUUCAGAGAGAAUGGGAGAGGUCUCCCCACCCAACAGCAGGUCGUUUGGCACCAGAAAUCCCGCGGUAGUGUUUACAGAGGGGAAAACACAACCAGAGCUGCUCUCUAGUAUCUACUCCCAGCUCCAGAAAGGCUCUUGCUUCUGAGCUCACCUUCCUAGGGAAUGCCACAGCCACAGGGAAAGGAACGUCGUCAUCACAAAAAGAAAAUACCUAAUCCUUCCCAUCCACGUGUUUGUAAAUACUGCGGGUGGCUGGAACGAUCUUCUAUAACACAUCACUGAGCCAAUUCAAAUACUGUAGUCCCUGGAGAGGGAACAGGUAAUAUGUAGUAAUAAAUCUCCCGAUGCGUAGACUGGACAAAA
Long non-coding RNA from Mastomys coucha (southern multimammate mouse), 852 nucleotides. RefSeq lists it as uncharacterized. NCBI's taxonomy places the organism in Eukaryota, Metazoa, Chordata, Mammalia, Rodentia, Muridae. The record is from RefSeq and is a predicted model, not a curated record. The transcript is spliced from 4 exons.